RNAcentral lists this unclassified non-coding RNA (252 nucleotides) under Melitaea cinxia (Glanville fritillary). RNAcentral describes it as "misc RNA ENSMCXG00005021045.1". Lineage: Eukaryota; Metazoa; Arthropoda; Insecta; Lepidoptera; Nymphalidae. The record is from RNAcentral.
UGUUUAUUCAUUAUCAUUAUAAAUUCAAGAUGGCCGCCGCUACAAAAUGGCGGAUAAUUUAUGUUUUAUUAAUCCCAUCAAUAUGGGUAUCAAAUGAAAGGGCUCAACAAGCAGAAUACAAUAUACUAUAAAAAAUUGAAAUCCAAGAUGGCGGCCGCUACAAAAUGGCGGAUAACGUAGGUUUUAUCGAUCCCAUCAAUAUGGGUAUCAAAUGAAAGUGCUCAACCAGUAUAAUCAAUGUACUAUAUAAAA